AACACAUUGUAGUACAACAGGCCACCCAACAAUAUGCUUAAACUUACCCUUUGUCUUGUGCUUGUCGCAGUGAGUGUCUAUGGCCAAUUACAUACUGAUCAUGGUGAACACCACCAUGGUACCUCAGUGUGCGCAUAUAUAGCUGGUGCUGAUUGUUCUAUAUUCGCUGACCAUGUAUUUUGUGCUACUGAUGCCAAGACUUACAACAAUAGAUGUGAAUUUUCUAAAGCUCAUUGUCUUGAACCGGAACUCCAUUUCUCCCACAAUGGUACCUGUGAUCCUACUGUUGACAAACCUGAUCCUAAUCUCCAUGGUAACGACCUGGUCUACAUAUUCUUCUGUAACAAUCUAAAACAUCAAACAUGUGGUGCGGAUCUAGAAAUCGUAUGCGGUACUGAUGGCAAAACUUACGAUAAUUUGUGCCUUUUUGAACAAGCAAGAUGCGACAACAUCAACCUUCAAGUCCAGACCUAUCAAGCUUGUCCUGUAUAAUGUCAGUUUCAGUAACGUGUAGAAAAAAUAUAUCUAUAUAUAUCAAUAAACAUAAUCAUACAAGUUUA
Patella vulgata (common limpet) is the source of this 560-nucleotide long non-coding RNA. RefSeq lists it as uncharacterized. The record is from RefSeq and is a predicted model, not a curated record. Lineage: Eukaryota; Metazoa; Mollusca; Gastropoda; Patellidae. The transcript has 4 exons.